Molecule: long non-coding RNA, 358 nt
Filed under: Olea europaea subsp. europaea
Lineage: Eukaryota; Viridiplantae; Streptophyta; Magnoliopsida; Lamiales; Oleaceae
Source: RNAcentral
UCCAAACACGCCACCAUCAUUGCCUUGUUCCAUCAGAAUUUAAUGUGUACACAAUGUAAAUUACAUUCAUCUUUUCUUCCGUUGAGGAACUGUGCUCCGAUGACUACCUUGUCGGUCAUUGCCGAAGGCAAAGAAAUCCCAUUUACAGGUGAGGAGUUGCCGCUAGAAGCCAUGGUAAGGUCUUUGUGGUGGGACUUGUUGGGCAAAAAUAGUUUGAAUACAUAAUAUGAUCAGCAAAAAUAGAAUGAGGUAGAAGGCAUUUUCUUGAAACGCAGUAGUUGCCAUAGAUGUUUUUAAAUCGAAGUCUGUGUAAAAGUAAUGGUUUUCCCUUUGAGUUUUUCUUCUUCCUAGAGUUGGG